RNAcentral lists this ribosomal RNA (1372 nucleotides) under uncultured bacterium. Its description in RNAcentral is "bacterial SSU rRNA". It matches the Rfam family "Bacterial small subunit ribosomal RNA", at positions 28 to 1381 of the family's 1533-position model. The record is from RNAcentral.
GAUGAACGCUGGCGGCGUGCCUAAUACAUGCAAGUCGAGCGAACGGACGAGAAGCUUGCUUCUCUGAUGUUAGCGGCGGACGGGUGAGUAACACGUGGAUAACCUACCUAUAAGACUGGGAUAACUUCGGGAAACCGGAGCUAAUACCGGAUAAUAUUUUGAACCGCAUGGUUCAAAAGUGAAAGACGGUCUUGCUGUCACUUACAGAUGGAUCCGCGCUGCAUUAGCUAGUUGGUAAGGUAACGGCUUACCAAGGCAACGAUGCAUAGCCGACCUGAGAGGGUGAUCGGCCACACUGGAACUGAGACACGGUCCAGACUCCUACGGGAGGCAGCAGUAGGGAAUCUUCCGCAAUGGGCGAAAGCCUGACGGAGCAACGCCGCGUGAGUGAUGAAGGUCUUCGGAUCGUAAAACUCUGUUAUUAGGGAAGAACAUAUGUGUAAGUAACUGUGCACAUCUUGACGGUACCUAAUCAGAAAGCCACGGCUAACUACGUGCCAGCAGCCGCGGUAAUACGUAGGUGGCAAGCGUUAUCCGGAAUUAUUGGGCGUAAAGCGCGCGUAGGCGGUUUUUUAAGUCUGAUGUGAAAGCCCACGGCUCAACCGUGGAGGGUCAUUGGAAACUGGAAAACUUGAGUGCAGAAGAGGAAAGUGGAAUUCCAUGUGUAGCGGUGAAAUGCGCAGAGAUAUGGAGGAACACCAGUGGCGAAGGCGACUUUCUGGUCUGUAACUGACGCUGAUGUGCGAAAGCGUGGGGAUCAAACAGGAUUAGAUACCCUGGUAGUCCACGCCGUAAACGAUGAGUGCUAAGUGUUAGGGGGUUUCCGCCCCUUAGUGCUGCAGCUAACGCAUUAAGCACUCCGCCUGGGGAGUACGACCGCAAGGUUGAAACUCAAAGGAAUUGACGGGGACCCGCACAAGCGGUGGAGCAUGUGGUUUAAUUCGAAGCAACGCGAAGAACCUUACCAAAUCUUGACAUCCUUUGACAACUCUAGAGAUAGAGCCUUCCCCUUCGGGGGACAAAGUGACAGGUGGUGCAUGGUUGUCGUCAGCUCGUGUCGUGAGAUGUUGGGUUAAGUCCCGCAACGAGCGCAACCCUUAAGCUUAGUUGCCAUCAUUAAGUUGGGCACUCUAAGUUGACUGCCGGUGACAAACCGGAGGAAGGUGGGGAUGACGUCAAAUCAUCAUGCCCCUUAUGAUUUGGGCUACACACGUGCUACAAUGGACAAUACAAAGGGCAGCGAAACCGCGAGGUCAAGCAAAUCCCAUAAAGUUGUUCUCAGUUCGGAUUGUAGUCUGCAACUCGACUACAUGAAGCUGGAAUCGCUAGUAAUCGUAGAUCAGCAUGCUACGGUGAAUACGUUCCGGGGUCU